Molecule: ribosomal RNA, 301 nt
Filed under: uncultured bacterium
Lineage: Bacteria
Description: partial 16S ribosomal RNA
Rfam family: Bacterial small subunit ribosomal RNA
Source: RNAcentral
CAGCAGCCGCGAGAAUACAGAGGGUGCGAGCGUUAAUCGGAUUUACUGGGCGUAAAGCGUGCGUAGGCGGCUUUUUAAGUCGGAUGUGAAAUCCCUGAGCUUAACUUAGGAAUUGCAUUCGAUACUGGGAAGCUAGAGUAUGGGAGAGGAUGGUAGAAUUCCAGGUGUAGCGGUGAAAUGCGUAGAGAUCUGGAGGAAUACCGAUGGCGAAGGCAGCCAUCUGGCCUAAUACUGACGCUGAGGUACGAAAGCAUGGGGAGCAAACAGGAUUAGAUACCCCGGUAGUCCCUGUCUCUUAUAC